RNAcentral lists this small RNA (77 nucleotides) under Xanthomonas albilineans. Its description in RNAcentral is "sX9 sRNA". It matches the Rfam family "Xanthomonas sRNA sX9". The record is from RNAcentral. RNAcentral also lists the same sequence under 1 other name. Lineage: Bacteria; Pseudomonadati; Pseudomonadota; Gammaproteobacteria; Lysobacterales; Lysobacteraceae.
AUGCACCCCCUUGUACACUGCGGUCUCUGCAAGCUGUCCGUGACCACCCGACAGCAACCCGCAACGUUUUGUUAGCC